Molecule: ribosomal RNA, 113 nt
Filed under: Burkholderiales bacterium
Lineage: Bacteria; Pseudomonadati; Pseudomonadota; Betaproteobacteria; Burkholderiales
Source: RNAcentral
CCUGACGACCAUGGCGAGGUGGUCCCACUCCUUCCCAUCCCGAACAGGACAGUGAAACGCCUCUGCGCCGAUGAUAGUGCGGGUUCCCGUGUGAAAGUAGGACAUCGUCAGGC